CCCUUAGAUGUUCUGGGCCGCACGCGCGCUACACUGAUGCAUUCAACGAGUCUAAAACCUGGUCUGAGAGGGCUGGGUAAUCUUUUGAAAGUGCAUCGUGAUUGGGAUAGAUGAUUGCAAUUCUUCAUCUUCAACGAGGAAUGCCCAGUAAACGCAAGUCAUCAGCUUGCAUUGAUUACGUCCCUGCCCUUUGUACACACCGCCCGUCGCUCCUACCGAUUGAACGAUCCGAUGAAAACUGUGGAUUGAGAGUCUGAGUGGGUUCGCCUACCUCAACUUUCGAGAAGCGGUUUAAAUCUUAUCGUUUAGAGGAAGGAGAAGUCGUAACA
This 329-nucleotide ribosomal RNA is filed under the name uncultured eukaryote. Its description in RNAcentral is "partial 18S ribosomal RNA". It matches the Rfam family "Eukaryotic small subunit ribosomal RNA", at positions 1470 to 1796 of the family's 1831-position model. The record is from RNAcentral.